This 1761-nucleotide ribosomal RNA is filed under the name Euglena communis. Its description in RNAcentral is "LSU rRNA". It matches the Rfam family "Bacterial large subunit ribosomal RNA", at positions 993 to 2781 of the family's 2925-position model. The record is from RNAcentral. Lineage: Eukaryota; Euglenozoa; Euglenophyceae; Euglenales; Euglenaceae.
GGGGGGUAAGCUUCAUUGUCAAGAGGGAAACAGCCCAGAUCACCAUUUAAGGCCCCUAAAUAAUUACUAAGUGAUAAAGGAUGUAAGAUUACAUAGACAACCAGGAGGUUCGCUUAGAAGCAGCUAUUCCUUUAAAAAGUGCGUAAUAGCUUACUGGUCAAGUGAUUUUGCGCCGAAAAUGAAUGGGACUAAGUAAUUUGCCGAAGAUGUGGGAAUUUCAGUAGAAGAGCGUUCUGUAGUAAUUAGAAGCAAUAGUGUAAACAGUUGUGGAUGAUACAGAAGUGAGAAUGUCAGCUUAAGUAACGAAAACAUUGGUGGAAAUCCAAUGCCCCGUAAACCUAAGGGUUCCUUAGCCAGGUUCGUCCACUAAGGGUUAGUCAGAGCCUAAAAUGAGGUUUAACUACGUAAUUGAUGGAUAACAGGUUAAUAUUCCUGUACUAUUUUUAUUUUGCUAAGAAUAACGAAAAAGGCUAUAUAAUCCAAAGUUUGGUUGUUUUGGUUUAAUCUUUCGAGGUAUUGAGAAUAUAAAAAAAAUAUUUUUAGCUGAGAGGAGAAUACGAUAGAUACUAAGGUAUCAAAAGUUAUUUAUGUCAUAUUUCCAAGAAAAACUCUUGUAGCUUAUAAUAAAAAUAUCUGUACCGUAAACUGACACAGGUGGGUUAGUAGAGAAUACUAAGGGGCGCGAGAUAACUCUUUCUAAGGAACUCGGCAAAAUAACUCCGUAACUUCGGGAGAAGGAGUGCCUCAUUUUGAGGUCGCAGUGACCAGGCCCAAGCGACUGUUUACCAAAAACACAGGUCUCCGCUAAGUUGAAAAACAAUGUAUGGGGGCUGACGCCUGCCCAGUGCCGGAAGGUUAAAGAAAUUGGUUAGCUUUUGCGAAGCUAGUGACUGAAGCCCUGGUGAACGGCGGUUGUAACUAUAACAAUCCUAAGGUAGCGAAAUUCCUUGUCGGGUAAGUUCCGACCCGCACGAAAGGCGUAACGAUUUGGGCACUGUCUCGGAAAGAGACUCGGUGAAAUAGAAUUGACUGUGAAGAUGCGGUCUACUUGCACUUGGACAGAAAGACCCUAUGAAGCUUUACUGUAACUUGAGACUGGUUUUGGGCUUUUCUUGCGCAGAAUAGGUGGGAGGCUAAGAAUCUUUUUUCCGGAAUUUGAUGAGCCAUAAUAUGAGAUACCACUCUAGAAAAGUUAGAAAUCUAAUAGUAUUUUUAAUCCAGAUACUUGACACUUUCAGGCGGGCAGUUUUACUGGGGCGGUAGCCUCCUAAAAGGUAACGGAGGCGUACAAAGGUUUUCUCAGUCUAGACGGAAAUUAGUUGUAGAGUGUAAAGACAUAAGAAAGCUUGACUGUGAGACAAAUAAGUCAAACAGAGACUAAAGUCGGUCUUAGUGACCCGACGGUUCUGAAUGGAAAGGCCGUCGUUCAACAGAUAAAAGUUACUCUAGGGAUAACAGGCUGAUCUCCCCCAAGAGUUCAUAUCGACGGGGAGGUUUGGCACCUCGAUGUCGGCUCAUCGCAACCUGGGGCGGUAGUACGUCCCAAGGGUUGGGCUGUUCGCCCAUUAAAGCGGUACGUGAGCUGGGUUCAGAACGUCGAGAGACAGUUCGGUCCAUAUCCGGUGUGAGCGUUAGAGCAUUGAAAGGAGCUUUCCUUAGUACGAGAGGACCGGGAAGGAUACACCACUGGUGUGCCAGUUUUUGUGCCAACAGAAAAUGCUGGGUAGCCAAGUGUAGAGUGGAUAACUGCGAAAAAGCAUA